Molecule: unclassified non-coding RNA, 148 nt
Organism: Callithrix jacchus (white-tufted-ear marmoset)
Lineage: Eukaryota; Metazoa; Chordata; Mammalia; Primates; Cebidae
Rfam family: Metazoan signal recognition particle RNA
About the family: The signal recognition particle (SRP) is a universally conserved ribonucleoprotein.
Source: Ensembl
GCUGGGUGUGGUGGCGCGCGCCUGUAGUCCCAGCUACUCAGGAGGCUGAGGCAGGAGAAUUGCUUGAACCCAGGAGGCGGAGGUUGCAGUGAGCUGAGAUCCUGUCACUGCACUCCAGCCUGGGCAACAGAGUGAAACUCUGUCUCAA